CAGCAGCCGCGGGAAAACGGGGGGGCAAGCGUUGUUCGGAAUUAUUGGGCGUAAAGGGUGCGUAGGCGGUUUGGCAAGUUUGGUGUGAAAUCUUCGGGCUCAACUCGAAGUCUGCAUCGAAAACUGCCGGGCUUGAGUAUGGGAGAGGUGAGUGGAAUUUCCGGUGUAGCGGUGAAAUGCGUAGAUAUCGGAAGGAACACCUGUGGCGAAAGCGGCUCACUGGACCAUAACUGACGCUGAUGCACGAAAGCUAGGGGAGCAAACAGGAUUAGAUACCCGAGUAGUCCCUGUCUCUUAUACA
RNAcentral lists this ribosomal RNA (301 nucleotides) under uncultured bacterium. RNAcentral describes it as "partial 16S ribosomal RNA". It matches the Rfam family "Bacterial small subunit ribosomal RNA", at positions 509 to 808 of the family's 1533-position model. The record is from RNAcentral.